RNAcentral lists this ribosomal RNA (200 nucleotides) under uncultured bacterium. RNAcentral describes it as "partial 16S ribosomal RNA". It matches the Rfam family "Bacterial small subunit ribosomal RNA", at positions 29 to 257 of the family's 1533-position model. The record is from RNAcentral.
AGCGAACGCUGGCGGCAGGCCUAACACAUGCAAGUCGAACGAAGUCUUCGGACUUAGUGGCGGACGGGUGAGUAACACGUAGGAACGUACCUUUUGGUUCGGAACAACUCAGGGAAACUUGAGCUAAUACCGGAUGUGCCCUUCGGGGAAAGAUUUAUCGCCAUUAGAGCGGCCCGCGUUAGAUUAGCUAGCUGGUGGGG